RNAcentral lists this transfer RNA (775 nucleotides) under uncultured cyanobacterium. RNAcentral's name for it is "partial 16S-23S ribosomal RNA intergenic spacer". The stretch from base 268 to 340 matches the Rfam family "tRNA". Lineage: Bacteria; Bacillati; Cyanobacteriota. The record is from RNAcentral.
CAGGGAGACAACACAAUGAUUUUGAUGCCUGAGUGCUUUUAUUCUUAGGCCGAGAUCCUGUCACCUUAGGUCGAUCGGUACCUCAGCUUUGAAGUCAAGGAUCAGCAGCAAUGUUGAUUGCUUGAUGGAGAUUUUCAGUUCCUAAACUUUGUCUAGGUCACACCCCAAAAGGGAUGAGACUCCUGGGCCAUUAGCUCAGGUGGUUAGAGCGCACCCCUGAUAAGGGUGAGGUCCCUGGUUCAAGUCCAGGAUGGCCCAUUCGGUGUUGGGGGUUUAGCUCAGUUGGUAGAGCGCCUGCUUUGCAAGCAGGAUGUCAGGAGUUCGAGUCUCCUAACCUCCACUGACCGAACUUGAUUCCCAUCUCCAAUUUUUUUGGAGUUGAGCUCGAUUGGAGUGUGAUUUAGAUGUGUCCGCUGGAUGACCCCAGCUUCCUGUCAUUCCAAGUUUUAGGUUGAUGCCUUGAAUUUGGUUGAUAAGAUGCUGGGCUCGGAUCAAAUGAUCAAGCAAUUGAUGAUUUGAUUUGAAGUUCUAGCAGGACCUUGACAACUGCAUAGGUGAGUCUGGAAAAAACAAAGCAUCUUACAGAUGCAUUGUUUUGAAUCUGAUCUUCUGAAAGGGAGAUUAGAUCUAGAACAAUGAAAAUUCUUUUGAGCAAGAGCCGAGACUCUUGAGCGUUCUUUGAUUGGUGUCGAGCCAAUCAGAGUUUGAUCUUGUUUUUAGCAAUAAAAACUUGAGAAUCUGCUUUCAACGGCGGUAAGCGUUCAUGAGGUUAAUU